AAAAGCGUCCUCUGUGGCGGACCAGGCCCAAGUCCCCUGGAAAGGGGCACCAGAGGGGGUGAGAGCCUCGUCAUGCCCGGACCCUAUCGCACCACGAGGCACUGUCGCCGAGUCGGGUUGUAUGGGAAUGCAGCCCCAGUCGGAUGUGGAACAGCCACAAGCCGGUCCACAGAUCGGCUCGAGGUGCGGACCGACGCGGAUUGGAAGGGUGGCUGAACCCCGGUCCCCGCGAGCUUCGUCCUUGCAAUUGUGGAAGGCAGCGCGCACCGCCACGGCGUACUGCGGUACCUGCACUCUCCUGAUGUCGGCCUGCGGGCCCUCCAUUCGGCCUGUCUUGAAACACGAACCAAGGAGUCUGACAUGUGUGCAAGUAAAUGGGCGAGUAAACCCGUACGGUGCAAGGAAGCUGGUGGGCGAGAUCCCCUCGUGGGUACACCGCCGGCCGACCUUGAUCUUCUGAGAAGGGUUCGAGUGAGAGCUUACCUGUGGGGACCCGAAAGAUGGUGAACUAUGCAGGGCGAAGCCAGAGGAAACUCUGGUGGCGGCCCGAAGCGAUACUGACGGGUAGAUCGUUCGUCUGACUUGGGUAUAGGGGCGAAAGACUAAUCGAACUGUCUAGUAGCUGGUUCCCUCUGAAGUUUCCCUCGGGAUAGCUGGAGCUCAUACGUGAGUCCAUCAGGUGAAGCCAAUGAUUAGAGGCAUCGGGGGCGCAAUGCCCUCUAUGAAUUCUCAAACUUUAAAUAGGUAAGACGGUGCGGCUGCUUUGUUGAGCCGCCACGGAAUAGAGAGCUCUAAGAGGGCCAUUUUUGGUAAGUAGAACUGGCGAUGCGGGAUGAACCGGAAGCCGGGUUACGGAGUCCAACUGUGCGCUAAACUAGAUCCCAUAAAGGGUGUUGGACGAUUAAGACAACCGGACGGUGGUUAUAAAAGUCGAGAUUUGGUAAGGAGUGUGUAACUCACCUGCCGAAUCAACUAGCCCCAAAAAUGGAUGGCGCUAAAGCGCGCGACCUAUACCCGAUCGUCGGCGCAAGUGCUAGGCCCCGAUGAGUAGGAAGGCGCGGCAGUCGCUGCAAAACCUGUGGCGCGAGCCAGGGCGGAGCGGCCGUCGGUGCAGAUCUUGGUCGUAGUAGAACAUAUUCAAAUAAAAACUUUGAAGGCGAAGAGGGGAAAGGUUCUAUGUGAACGACACUUGCACAUGGGUUAGCCGAUUCUAAGAGACGGGGGAAGCCCGUCCGACAGUGCGUUUCGCGUGAGCUUCGAAAGGGAAUCGGGUUAAAAUUCCCGAACCGGGAUGCGGCGGUUAACGACAACGUUAGGGAGACCGGAGACAUUGGCGGGGGCCUUGGGAAGAGUUAUCUUUUCUAUUUAAAAGCCUGCCUACCCAGGAAAUAACUCAAUCGGAGGUAGGGUCCAGCGGCUGGAAGAGCACCUCACAUCGCGUGGUGUCCAGUGCGCCCCCGGCAGCCCUUGAAAAUCCAGAGGACCGAGUGCCGACCGCGCCCGGUCGUACUCAUAACCGCAUUAGGUCUCCAAGGUGAACAGCCUCUGGUCGAUGGAAUAAUGUAGGCAAGGGAAGUUGGCAAAAUGGAUCCGUAACUUCAAAAAAAGGUUUGGCUCUGAGGGCUUGGCACGGGGGUCCCAGCCCCGAACCCGUUGGCUAUCGGCGAACUGCUCGAGCGGGUCGCCGCGUGUCGGCCGGGGGACGGACUGGGAACGGCCCCUUCGGGGGCCUUCCCUUGGCGUCGAGCAGUCAACUCAAAAUUGGUACGGACAAGGGGAAUCCGACUGUUUAAUUAAAACAAAGCAUUGCGANNNNNNNNNNNNNNNNNNNNNNNNNNNNNNNNNNNNCAAAUACUCAAAUGAGUACAUUAAAGGCCGAAGAGGGGAAAGGUUCCAUGUGAACGGAACUUGCACAUGCGUUAGUCGAUCUUAAGAGAUGGAGGAAGCCCGUCCGAUAGCGAAACCAUAGCCAAGGGAACGGGCUUGGUAGAAUCAGCAGGGAAAGAAGACCCUGUUGAGCUUGACUCUAGUCCGACUUUAUGAAAUGACUUGAGAGGUGUAGCGUAAGUGGGAGCUUCGACGUAAGUAAAAUACCACUACUUUUAACAUUAUUUUACUUACUCCGUGAGUCAGAGGCGGGGCAUCGCCCCUCUUUUUGGACUUAAGGCUCGCCUCGCGGGCCGACCCGAGCUGAGGACAUUGUCAGGUGGGGAGUUUGGCUGGGGCGGCACAUCUGUUAAAGGAUAAUGCAAGUGUCCUAAGAUGAGCUCAACGAGAACAGAAAUCUCGUGUGGAAUAGAAGGGUAAAAACUCGUUUAAUUCUGAUUUUCAGUACGAAUAUGAACCGUGAAAGCGUGGCCUAACGGUCCUUUAGACCUUCCAAAUUUGAAGCUGGAGGUGUCAGGAAAGUUACCACAGGGAUAACUGGCUUGUGGUAGCCAAGCGUUUAUAGCGACGUUGCUUUUUGAUCCUUCGAUGCCGGCUCUCCCUAUCUUUGUGAAGCAGAAUUCACCAGGUGUUGGAUUGUUCACCCACCAAUAGGGAAUUUGAGCAAGGUUUAGACUGUCGUGGGAUAGGUUUUACCCUAUUGAUGACAUUAUCGCGAUGGUAAUUCAACCUAGUACGAGAGGAAUCGUUGAUUCGCACAAUUAAUCAUCGCGCUUGGUUGAAAAGCCAGUGGCACGAAGCUACCGUGCGUUGGAUUAUGACUGAACGCCUCUAAGUCAGAAUCUGGGUCCGAAGCGACGCAUGCGCCCGCCACCCGAUUGCCGACCUGUAGUAGGGGCCUCGGCCCCUAAGGGCGCGUGUCGUGAGCUAAGCCAGUGCAGCGGAUGCGCCGCGAGGGCUGCCUUGAAGUACAAUUCCUACCGAGCGGCGGGUUGAAUCCCUUGCAGAUGACUUAAACACGCGACGGGGUAAUGUAAGUCGCAGAGUGGCCUUGCUGCCACGAUC
This 2952-nucleotide ribosomal RNA is filed under the name Stenocereus thurberi (organ pipe cactus). RNAcentral's name for it is "eukaryotic LSU rRNA". It matches the Rfam family "Eukaryotic large subunit ribosomal RNA". The record is from RNAcentral. Lineage: Eukaryota; Viridiplantae; Streptophyta; Magnoliopsida; Caryophyllales; Cactaceae.